CCUGGUUGAUCCUGCUAGUAGUCAUAUGCUUGUCUGAAAGAUAGCCAUGCAUGACUAAGUAUGAACUAAUUCAGACUGUGAAAUUGCGGAUGGCUCAUUAAAUCAGUAAUAGUUUUUUUUAUGGUACCAUACUACUCAGAUAACUGUAGUAAUAAUUCUAGAGCUAAUAUGUGCACCAAGUCUCGACUCUUUGGAAGGGAUGCAUUUUUUAGAUAAAAGGAUGGUGUGGGCUUGCCCGCUUCUCCGGUGAAUCAUGAUAACUUGAUAGAUUGCACAACCCUUGUUCUGGCGAUGCUUCAUUCAAAUUUCUGCCCUAUCAACUUUCAAUGGUAGGAUAGAGGCCUACCAUGGUGGUGACGAGUGAUGGAGAAUUAGGGUUUGAUUCCAGAGAGGGAGCCUGGGAAAUGGCUGCCACAUCAAAGGAAGGCAGAAGGCACUCAAAUUACCCAAUCCUGACAUGGGGAGGUAGUGACAAUAAAUAACAAUACUUGGCUCAUUAAGUUUGGUAAUUGGAAUGAGUACAAUCUAAAUCCCUUAACAAGGAUCCAUUGGAGGGAAAGUUUGGUUCCAACAGCCAUGGUAAUUCCAUAUCCAAUAGCGUAUAUUUAAUUUGUUGUAGUUAUAAAUCUUGUAGUUGGAUCUUGGGUCGGUCUGCCUACUCGAUGUGCACUUGCCCUUCUAUCCCUUUUGUCAACGGCGUGCUCCUAGAGUUAAUUGAAUGGGUCGCGGCUCCAGUGCUAUUACAUUGAAAAAAUUAGAGUGCUCAAAGCAAUCUUAUGCUCUGAAUACAUUAGUAUGGAAUAACGUGAUAGGAGUCUGGUCCUAUUGUGUUGGCCUUCGGGACCAGAGUAAUGAUUAAUAGGGACUAUCAGGGGCAUUCGUAUUUCAUUGUCAGAGGUGAAAUUCUUGGAUUUAUGAAAGAUGGACCACUGCAAAAGCAUUUUCCAAGGAUGUUUUCAUUAAUCAAGAAUGAAAGUUGGGGGCUCAAAGAUGAUCAAAUACAAUCCUAGUCUCAACCAUAAAUGAUGUUGACCAGGGAUCGGUGGAUGUUGCUCUAAGGACUUCGCUAGCACCUUUAGAGAAAUCAGUGUUUAGGUUCCCAGGGGAGUAUGGUCGCAAGGCUGAAAAUUAAAGGAAUUGACAGAAGGGCACCACUAGGAGUGGGGCCUACGGCUUAAUUUGACCCAACACUGGGAAACUUACCGGGUCCAGACAUAGUAAGGAUUGACAAAUUGAGAGCUCUUUCUUGAUUCUAUGGGUGGUCGUGCAUGGUUGUUCUUAGUUGGUGGAGCGAUUUGUCUGGUUAAUUCAGGUAAUGAACGAGACCUCAUCUUGCUAACUAGCUACAUGGAGGUUCUCCUUCGUGGCCAACUUCUUAUAGAGACUAUGGCCAUUUAGGCCAUGGAAGUUUGAGGCAAUAAUAGGUCUAUGAUGCCCUUAUAUGUUUUGGGCCGCACGCGUGCUACACUGAUGCAGCCAACAAGUUUUUCUUCAUGGUUCGAGAGGAUCGGGAAAUCUUCUCAAAGUGCAUCAUGAUGGGGAUAGACCAUUGCAAUUAUUAGUCUUCAACGAGGAAUUCAUAGUAAGCGCAUGUCAUCAACUUGUGUUGACUACGUCACUGCCCUUUGUACACACCGCUCAUCGCUCCUACCAAUUGAAUCAUCUAGUGAAGUGUUCGGAUUGCGUCGAUGAUGGUGGUUUGCUGCCAUUGACGUCAUGAGAAGUGCAUUUAACCUUAUCAUUUAGAGGAAGGAGAAGUCGUAACAAGGUUACUGUAGGUGAACCUGUAGUAG
Molecule: ribosomal RNA, 1793 nt
Filed under: Pinus taeda (loblolly pine)
Lineage: Eukaryota; Viridiplantae; Streptophyta; Pinopsida; Pinales; Pinaceae
Description: SSU rRNA
Rfam family: Eukaryotic small subunit ribosomal RNA
Source: RNAcentral